CGGGUCAAAAAAUAACGCCGUCCGAUCCCUAAUCGGCAUAGUUUAUGGUUAAGACUACGACGGUAUCUGAUCGUCUUCGAUCCCCUAACUUUCGUUCCUGAUUAAUGAAAACAUCCUUGGCAAAUGCUUUCGCAGUAGUUAGUCUUCAAUAAAUCCAAGAAUUUCACCUCUGACAAUUGAAUACUGAUGCCCCCGACUGUCCCUAUUAAUCAUUACGGCGGUCCUAGAAACCAACAAAAUAGAACCACACGUCCUAUUCUAUUAUUCCAUGCUAAUGUAUUCGAGCAUAGGCCUUCUUUAAGCGAUCUAAUUUGUUCAGAGUAAAAGUCCUGGUUCCCCAUCACACCCAGUGAAGGGCAUGAGGUUCUCCAGAAGGAAAGACCCAGCCGAGCCAGUGCACGCGGUGAGGCGGACCGGCCGGCUAGGCCCAAGGUUCAACUACGAGCUUUUUAACCUCAACAACUUUAAUAUACGCUAUUGGAGCUGGAAUUACCGCGGCUGCUGGCACCAGACUUGCCCUCCAAUUGUUCCUCGUUAAGGGAUUUAAAUUGUACUCAUUCCGAUUACAAGACCCGAAAGAGCCCUGUAUCAGUAUUUAUUGUCACUACCUCCCCGUGUCGGGAUUGGGUAAUUUGCGCGCCUGCUGCCUUCCUUGGAUGUAGUAGCCGUUUCUCAGGCUCCUUCUC
RNAcentral lists this ribosomal RNA (686 nucleotides) under fungal sp. K15. Its description in RNAcentral is "partial 18S rRNA". The record is from RNAcentral. Lineage: Eukaryota; Fungi.